This 254-nucleotide ribosomal RNA is filed under the name uncultured prokaryote. RNAcentral describes it as "partial 16S ribosomal RNA". It matches the Rfam family "Bacterial small subunit ribosomal RNA", at positions 524 to 776 of the family's 1533-position model. The record is from RNAcentral.
UACGGGGGGGGCAAGCGUUGUUCGGAAUUACUGGGCGUAAAGGGCGCGUAGGCGGCCAGCGCAAGUCGGUUGUGAAAUCUCCGGGCUUAACCCGGAAAGGUCAACUGAUACUGCGCGGCUAGAGUGCGGAAGGGGCAACUGGAAUUCUCGGUGUAGCGGUGAAAUGCGUAGAUAUCGAGAGGAACACCUGCGGCGAAGGCGGGUUGCUGGGCCGACACUGACGCUGAAGUGCGAAAGCCAGGGGAGCGAACGGG